AAGGAACACUGCAGUCACGACUAGAGAGAAGAGCCGAGGAGGAUUCCUAGUGGAGGACCUCAGAAAAUACCACUCUGGGAUUGAUGGGAAACUUCAGAGAAGACUGCUCAGAGCUAUAGAAUAACUCACCAACUAUCUAGAAGUGGGUGGAUAUAAAUGAGGUUAGCAGCAUCCAACAGCAGAGGGAGCUCUCUGAGAGGAAGAAGGAAAGAAAAGCUGACAGUCUGGGAAAGGUUUAGUGCUGGGGGCGGGGGACCAGGCCUGGCAGAUGAAGAGAGAGACCAGGGAAACGGGUUAGUGAGGAAUAACUUGUGGUCCUUUUGGUCUCGCCUACACAGUUUAUGCAAGGCCAAACAGCAAGAAAGUCAGGAGCUGCUGCAUAUAAAAAAUAAAUGAAGCCCUUUUUCUGAUGCUCUGCCUACCCCCAGACCUUGCAGGACCUUGCCUUGCAAGCCUAACAUGACAAGCCUCCAUUGAUUUAACUCUAUGCAGCCAGGCAGGACAAUAUCACACAGAUAGCAUAACUUGAGGGCCACUCUAACUCAUACUCCUGUAGGAAUGGUCAGCUGUGGACCACUGCAGGAAAGCAGAGAAGCUGGGGGUCAGGUUUGCCCUGGCCAGGCCCGAUUGCCUUGAGCCAUAACCAUCACCUCCUUCCUCCAUCACAUCUUGGAAUGCCUCACAUCCUGUGUAGAGGACACACAGCCAUCCAUGUGCCAGGCACAGGGGCUCCUAUCUGGGAAAAGGGGCCAUAGGGCACUAAGGAAUUGGGCCUAAAGGAGACUGUUCUGAAGAAGGCAAACAUCACACUCAAAACUGGGGAAAGGUUAAGUGUUUGUGUGACAGGAAAGUUUUAAAAUAGGGAGGCAUAGAGCUUAAAGAGUUAUAGUUACCUUUGAGACAUGUAACUAAAAGAGAUAAAAACCAUAUGUUCUGUAGAUGAGCCUUUUACACUCCAUUAUGUCAGAACUGGGCUCUAAUUGUAUCUAGAUCUCUCUGAUUCUAACUGUUUUCUUACUUACUGCUCCUGGAUUCAUUUUUUUUCUUGCUAGUAUGUCUGGAUUUAGCAAGACUCCUUUGAGUUGACACUAAACUUAUGUGGAUCCAGCUAGUUUUGGCAAGUUCUGAGUUGGUAAAAAUCUUUUUAUGCUUGAUUGUAGACAGCUGGCAUAAAAAUUCAGAAUUUUCCAAUCACUGACUCUUUUUAUUAUUUGUCUUCACCUCUCUUGAUGUUUACCAGCCUGGCCUGCUUUUAUCUCUGUUAAUCCUUCAGUGCAUGGAGCCCCAGAAGCAGAGACCGUACAUAAGCAUGGCCUCUAUGUCAGUUAAAACAAAACAAAUUACCCUACCAAGGUUACGCUUGUGAGACUUUUCAAAGCUGGCCAAAAAUAAUAUAAGUGAUGAUCUAAGAGAGAAAAAUAACCAAAAGCCAGACUGAACUUCCUAAAAAAAACAGUUUAAAAUAAAUUACAACUAAUUAUUCGAAACAGGAGCUGAGCUAAAAACAGAACUGAAAUAAAUUAAAAUAAAUUGAUGAAAACAGUGCUCAAAGAUGAAAGCUGAAUAGAGUUAACCUAAUUUUCCUUUGGUCUCUGAAGCUGAUGCUGCUGAAGAGGUCCUUCCUCUAUAACUUUAAAGAGCUUUAAAUGGAGAAGAGCAGGUUAAAAAUAAUCCAAUUUUAAAAAAGCAAAGGGCUAAGUCCUCAGGCCCAACUGGGUUAAAGCAGCCUUAAACCAGGCAGCUGAAGAUCCCGAACUGGAUAACACCCAUUUCAACUUCUCCCGUGAAGGGGUAUUGCUGGAGAGCAGUGUACAUGUCUGGGAACCCCCGUGAGUAUACCUUCUUCUAAAGGGCUGUCACAAAUGAAUGUAGAUUACUGCAAACCCUGGAGUCCAUGGAUGGAGAGAGGGCAAAGGUCGUAUUAACCUACCUUUUGAUCCCUCCCCCGCCUCUCCAGGGCCUGUAAUAAGCGCCACAUGGAUGAACCAAAGGAGAGUUGCCAAAAGAUCCUGUUUGCAAAUAAUCCUUUAGAGAAUUAAAACUGAAAGGAUUUUAAAAUUCAAGUGUACUUUCUGCUAUUUGUGGUGGGGUUUUUUUUGUGUUUCCAUUUUCCCAUAUUUUAAUAAAAAUACAUCUGGAAAAAAAAAUCCACAAAGCCGAAUAGAAAUGAGUCCCGGGGGAGAGGAAGAGUGGGCAGCAAGACAACCCCACACCCAGGCCCAAUGCAAGCAGACGAAGGGAUCCAGCCUGGGGGCCCAAUGACAAGGAGCUCCAAGGAGACGCUACUUCUUCUGUUUGGGAGCAGGUCUGUAAUUCCCCACCACCACAGCCUGGUCUCGCUUGUAGGGCUCCAGCUUCAGCUGCUCCUGGGGUUUCAUGUUCUCCUGCUGCAUCUUCUUCGCCUCUGAGGUGAAGACGGCCUCAGGCACCGCUGUGGAGUCGAUGCAGUUGGCCUUGAUGGAUAUGAUGAAGUGCCCUCCGUUCUUCAGGAAGUUCUGAGCAUUUAGGGCUACAAUGCACGACUGGUCAGACUGGGCCACGUCAGCAAAGAUUUAGUUUCCUAUUGCAUUUCACUUAUCUUGGACAAUGAAGCAAACUGUUUGGCUUUAUUUUGUUUAUAUGUGUUUUGCUGCUGUUUCUGGUACUCAAGCACUAGCACAAUACUAUAAUGUUUGGGUUGCAAACACUGCAGGAAACAUUAAACUCCAAACCAAAAUUAUGUUUUCACUGAAAUUAGUUGUUUUUAA
Dermochelys coriacea (leatherback sea turtle) is the source of this 2747-nucleotide long non-coding RNA. RefSeq lists it as uncharacterized. The record is from RefSeq and is a predicted model, not a curated record. The transcript has 6 exons. Lineage: Eukaryota; Metazoa; Chordata; Testudines; Dermochelyidae.